This 506-nucleotide ribosomal RNA is filed under the name uncultured bacterium. Its description in RNAcentral is "bacterial SSU rRNA". It matches the Rfam family "Bacterial small subunit ribosomal RNA", at positions 355 to 861 of the family's 1533-position model. The record is from RNAcentral.
UGGGGAAUAUUGCGCAAUGGCCGCAAGGCUGACGCAGCGACGCCGGCGUGUGGGAUGACGGCCUUCGGUUGUAACCACUGUCGGAGGGACGGAAUACUUGGCUUGCCAAGGGUGACGGUACCUCCAAAGGAAGCACCGGCUAACUCCGUGCCAGCAGCCGCGGUAAUACGGAGGGUGCGAGCGUUGUCCGGAAUCACUGGGCGUAAAGGGCGCGUAGGUGGCUCGUUAAGUGGCUGGUGAAAUCCCGGGGCUCAACUCCGGGGCUGCCGGUCAGACUGGCGGGCUCGAGCACGGUAGAGGCGGAUGGAAUUCCCGGUGUAGCGGUGGAAUGCGUAGAUAUCGGGAAGAACACCGGUGGCGAAGGCGUUCCGCUGGGCCGUUGCUGACACUGAGGCGCGACAGCGUGGGGAGCAAACAGGAUUAGAUACCCUGGUAGUCCACGCCGUAAACGAUGGGCACUAGGCGUCGGGGGGAGCGACCCGUCCCGGUGCCGUCGCUAACGCAGU